This is a long non-coding RNA of Mesocricetus auratus (golden hamster), 1315 nucleotides long. RefSeq lists it as uncharacterized. The transcript has 3 exons. Lineage: Eukaryota; Metazoa; Chordata; Mammalia; Rodentia; Cricetidae. The record is from RefSeq and is a predicted model, not a curated record.
UCCAGGGCUGGCUGGUGAGGAGGAUAACCCAAGUGACAGCAAUUAUGUCAAGGAUGAUGGUGAUCCUUUGUUGAAGCAGACUGCACAAGAGUAAAGACACGAGGAGAAAGAAUUCAACCAUUUCACAUCCCUGACAUCAUAAUUUUCAAGAGAAUCAAAGCCUGAGAUCAGGUGAUUCCCACAAACUGAAAAUCACUCUCACCCACCAUGCAAGCUGCUGCUUUUUCUGCGCACAUGGGACUCACCAAACCACCAAGAUUCUAGAAAGUAUGUGACAGCACAAGCUGCCUGUCAUCCUGCAGGGACGAAGCUCUGCCAACAAAUUCAAUAUGCACCACGUUUGAUGGAUCAGAAGAUCAGAAUAGAAGCUGCAUGCCAAGUUCAAGAAGAGGAUAGUACCUCAUUUUCCAAACCUUGUAGUCUCUCAUUAUGUCACUGGCCUUCAUUCAAGCAGGUCCCUGGUACCUUUGCCUCUGUGUUGGGGAAGCUGACCUAAGCCACCUCAUGUGCUCGUUUUCUUCAGGACAUCAAGACCAGGCUUCUGAAUCUCAUCCUCUCUCACAAACAGUUCCUAAAGACAGCCAGAAAGCAAUAUGGAAGGGAUGGUGUGAACAAAGAGGAGUGAUACCUGAGAUUUGUGUCAAGUCUGUCCUGUUAACAGAGGCAGCCCUUUUCAAUGCUAUGGAAGCCUGGUCCCUCAGGGCCAUGAAAACAGGCAAGUAGACCUUCAUUGAGUCUGAGCUACAUGUGACUCUUUAGAGAUGUCCAACCACAUUACAGGGUGGCAGUUACGUGAAGGUUGGGGAAGAUCAUAGCUGAGGCUAUAAUGAAGAAGCAUAGAUACUAGAACCUGUAGCCAUGAUAUAUUGCUACACAGGACACAGAAUUGUUACCUGGAUCCUUCCUAUUACAAAGACAGACUGUUGUCAAAUGGGAUAUUGCAUUUUCCCCAAGUGCACACCAAAAGACGUACUCAGCCAAGAGGAAGAGGGGACUCUACUGACCAAGGCUGCGCUUUUCCCAACCACAUCCUAGCUCACUAGGUAAGGUUAAGAUAUUUCAAAGGCAGCAUCCUACUUGUGUGCCUUGAUGAAUGCUAGGAUCAUCAGAAAAGGAUAUAUACAUCUCAUUGCUGCUUGUUCCUAGCCCCUCACCAUAAGUUCCUCAAGGGAGCUUUCUUACUGCUAUGGCUACUCUAUAAAACCCUGUCACAGGACAAAACAGCCAUCUCUUUUUUGUUAAUUUGUUGAUAGGAAAUUCCUCAGGACAGACUGUAUCCCUUCCUUGACAGCACUCCUCAUUUCCUUUUUCCACA